GCACUUCUUUGUACUUCGAUAUGUAAAAAAAAAAAAUAUUUUCAUAGAAUUUCUUAAAAAUAUAAAAUAAUGUUUUAAGAUAAAGACGUUUUUUGAGAGUAACUUUGCUUAUUGUAAACAAAAACGCAUGAUUUGAUCACUUUCCAGCAAUUCACCUUCGAAAAUUUAAAAACGGUUAUCUUUGCUUUCUGAAUUGAAUUAGUUAUGUUCUAAACCUUGAUUCUCAGCGCAGAUUAUCCUGCAAAAGUAUCUUACACAAGAAUAAUAUCUAUAUAGAAAUGGUAACCGCUAACAAUUAGUUGCCGUUAAACUAUUUGAAAUUUUCUAAGAUAAAUUAAAAUAUACACGCUUUAUGGAUCCUUAGAAAAAAUGAGGAAGAAACAUUAAUAAUCUCUGGAUAUUCAAUACACGUGGCUUCUAAACGAUGCGAGUGCCACAAUUAUUUGGAUUUUACAUGGUACAGGUUAAUAUGACAGAGUAAAGAACCGUGAUGAUUGUUUUCUUGUGCCUUUUUCUACAGAUGUGCCGAGUGAAGUAAUGUUAAGUUGGUAGGCUCAAUGUGUAAAAAUGAUUCGAACAUUAGAUCUUGUAUUUAAACUGUUUCACUAAAACCACAUAGUUUCUGUUGGAUUCAUUACAUUUUUUUAAUCAUUUGAGUGAAAUGGAAAGUCACAGACAUCAUUAAAGAAGCAGAUUAUCCUGAGCAGACAUCUGCGUUUAAUGGGAACAAUUGCGCAACGUCAUUCCCCAUAAGAAGAUUGACUGCAUUUACAGCUAUUGGCAAAUAGUACGGAGAGCAGCUGUCCAGACGGCCAGAAAACAUUUUAUUGUUUGACACAGAAGUAAUAUCGGCUGGAUAACUUUUGACACUUAAUAGAUACCAGCUUGCGUGAUAAAGGUAUGCCACCAACCACAGUAUUUUCUCAGUUUCGUACACAUGCCAUCCAUCUAUAUCACUCUUCCUGGAUGCGAGGAAGUAUUCGCUUAAGAUACGUCUAUGUAUCCAAAGGCACAAUAGACAUGUUUUGCCCGAAAUGACCAUGGCCCAACAGGAAAUACCUGGAAUCUUCAAGAGGAUUUUGGAAUUUGAGCCGUUUUUAAAAUAUAUUCGUGGUCCAACAGAUUUAAUUGAUAGUUUUAAGAGCUAGAAAUCUUGAACCAAGUUCAAAAUGCAUCGUCUUUGGUACUCGCAAAUUACGGAAACUUACAUUCAAUAUGCACAGUGGAUUGAAAGUGAAAGGUUUAUAAUCUCUCCAUAUGCCAGACGAGUGGUUUCAAAGAAACGAGAUCAGAAUCAUGUGGAUUUAACAUGCUUAACUUGUGAUAGGAGAAAAUAACCAUGAAGAUUUCUUCUUAUACUGUUUUCAACUAUGGAACCAAUGUUAAUUUGGACGAUUUUUUUGUGUAAUGCCAGCAAGAAUUUGUGAGAUAACAUCCGUUUGAACCACUUUACUUAACCUUCCUAAUACCUAAAUACUACUUGGUUCUACAGCAGCGCAUUGUGCAAAGAAUACAACUCAUGUCAUUUAUUUGAACAAUGGCACUCUCCAUCUAUAGAAUGAAUGUCCUUUUCAGUUCCAGCUACAAAUUCUAUAUACAGAGGAUGUCUGGAUGCCCAGGAAAGAGCAGUACUGAAGUGGUUUCGAUAUUGACAUGAGUUGGCCGAAAUGAUCGCGGUACAACGGAUGCCAUCCGGAAUGUUCAAGCGCAUAUCGGAACUCGGAGCCUUAGUAAUGAAAUAUUGCAUGAAGAUCCAACAUAUGCAGUUUGUAAAAUUGUAAAUAUUAGACCAAACCCAAAAUGCAUAUUUGGUACCAAAAUAUUGUCAAUGAUCUGCAUAGUGGAAAUGUAAAUGUAUAUGGAGUUAACAUUACUUGAGGACAUCAAUACAUCUCUAAAAUGUUUUAUUCUUCCAUUUUUAAGGUUUUGAAUAUUUAUAUAUUUUUGGAGAAUUCUUUCAACCAAUGCAGUAAUUCAUUUCGAACUUGGAAAAGGUUGAAGUGCAUGAAAUGUACAUCAUUCAAAGCCUGUUUGGCAUAUGAAUCAAUAUUUCUUAAGUUUUGGAAAUUGUUAAGCUUUUGGUUCAUUAUAUUUCCUUCAAAGUUGAUGUUUAUAUUCUACUCUUUUAGAAACAAGUAUUUUUUUUAAUAUUCUAGACAUAUGAAACAUUUUUAUGGAUAAAUUAAAAUUUGUAAGUAUUUGAUUUUUCUAAGUUAUCUAAAACCAAUUUUCAACAAGACCUAAAGAAGAAUUUUUCUCUCAGGAUGUCUAAAAUUGACUUUAAAAUUUCAUUUGUAACCAUACUCUUAUUAAAAGUUAGUAAGUUAGACUUUUUUUUACUGACCCAGCGAUAUAGCCAGGGAUCGCAGCAACUGUCCCAGAAUUGCAAUUACUUGAAAAAAAAAAGUAUAAAACGACUUAAUUUGCAUUUGACAUUUCUCCGUCAUUGUAAACAGAGAAGGCAUCUUCAUGAUAUUAGAUGAUUUGUUAAGAUUAUUUUUCAUCAUCGAUUGCCUUAUUAAAAUUCUAAAAAUUUAAUUUUUUGUUAUUGAUAACCGAUUAGCUAUUAUUCCUUUUCAUCAGCAUAAUUGUUUGUAGACAGUUUUCAAUUUAUUGAUAGAUUUUACAAAAUAGUCUUCCAUUGUUUUCAUUUAUUACUGAAUGUCAAAGAUCGCGAAAGCAAUUUGAUUCAUUUUUUCCUGAAUAGAAAUUUAAAA
Long non-coding RNA from Argiope bruennichi, 2717 nucleotides. RefSeq lists it as uncharacterized. Lineage: Eukaryota; Metazoa; Arthropoda; Arachnida; Araneae; Araneidae. The record is from RefSeq and is a predicted model, not a curated record. The transcript is spliced from 4 exons.